Molecule: ribosomal RNA, 477 nt
Filed under: uncultured bacterium
Lineage: Bacteria
Description: partial 16S ribosomal RNA
Rfam family: Bacterial small subunit ribosomal RNA
Source: RNAcentral
AUUGAACGCUGGCGGCAUGCCUUACACAUGCAAGUCGAACGGUAACAGGUUAAGCUGACGAGUGGCGAACGGGUGAGUAAUGUAUCGGAACGUGCCCAGUCGUGGGGGAUAACUGCUCGAAAGAGCAGCUAAUACCGCAUACGACCUGAGGGUGAAAGCGGGGGAUCGCAAGACCUCGCGCGAUUGGAGCGGCCGAUAUCAGAUUAGGUAGUUGGUGAGGUAAAGGCUCACCAAGCCGACGAUCUGUAGCUGGUCUGAGAGGACGACCAGCCACACUGGGACUGAGACACGGCCCAGACUCCUACGGGAGGCAGCAGUGGGGAAUUUUGGACAAUGGGCGCAAGCCUGAUCCAGCCAUGCCGCGUGCCGGAAGAAGGCCUUCGGGUUGUAAACCGCUUUUGUCAGGGAAGAAAAGGUUCUGGCUAAUACCUGGGACUCAUGACGGUACCUGAAGAAUAAGCACCGGCUAACUACGUG